AUGAAAAUAAGAAGACAGAGAUGAGAGAGAGACUAGAGUGAGAGAGAGAAGAACCGGAAGAAGAUUGGAACGGCGACGAACCGCCGUCUGGUGGCGGCGGUGGUGUUUAUCCGACGAGUUUCAUGGUGCCGGCGGUGGAGUGUGGUGAGCCGACGACGAUCGUUGAGAAGAUGACGAUGCGGUGGUGGGUCCAGAACGACGGUGGUAGUGGUGAUAUUUGAAUGUUGGGACAGGUUUGAUUCGGGAGCUUUUUGGUUUGGUCCGGGAUGUAUCAACUCAACAGGAAGUACCGACUCAAGUUUUCGUUUCGAGCUCACAAGAGAAACACACGAGUAGUUCGGUUCCGUCAAGUCAGGUCACGGCUUAUCGGGUCAGAUUUGGUGCUCGGUCAACUCCAGUCAACAAAAGUCAGCGGUCAACGGCUCGGUCAACCGAGUCAACUCGGGUCAACCAGUCAACAUCAGGUCAAACGCGGUCAACUCAAACCCG
This 489-nucleotide long non-coding RNA is filed under the name Helianthus annuus (common sunflower). The record is from RNAcentral. Lineage: Eukaryota; Viridiplantae; Streptophyta; Magnoliopsida; Asterales; Asteraceae.